Molecule: ribosomal RNA, 486 nt
Filed under: uncultured bacterium
Lineage: Bacteria
Description: partial 16S ribosomal RNA
Rfam family: Bacterial small subunit ribosomal RNA
Source: RNAcentral
GACGAACGCUGGCGGCGUGCUUAACACAUGCAAGUCGAACGCUGAAGACCUGGCUUUUGUUGGGUUGGAUGAGUGGCGAACGGGUGAGUAACACGUGAGUAACCUGCCCUCUUCUUUGGGAUAACGCCCGGAAACGGGUGCUAAUACUGGAUAUUCACUGAUCUUCGCAUGGGGGUUGGUGGAAAGGUUUGUUCUGGUGGGGGAUGGACUCGCGGCCUAUCAGCUUGUUGGUGGGGUGAUGGCCUACCAAGGCUUUGACGGGUAGCCGGCCUGAGAGGGUGACCGGUCACAUUGGGACUGAGAUACGGCCCAGACUCCUACGGGAGGCAGCAGUGGGGAAUAUUGCACAAUGGGCGAAAGCCUGAUGCAGCGACGCCGCGUGAGGGAUGGAGGCCUUCGGGUUGUAAACCUCUUUCGCUCAUGGUCAAGCCGCAACUGUGGGUUGUGGUGAGGGUAGUGGGUAAAGAAGCGCCGGCUAACUACGUG